Molecule: long non-coding RNA, 429 nt
Filed under: Vigna radiata
Lineage: Eukaryota; Viridiplantae; Streptophyta; Magnoliopsida; Fabales; Fabaceae
Description: long non-coding RNA (VRAD_LNC012563)
Source: RNAcentral
CUGGAUUUGACCAUUGUCUUGUAGAGGGUCAGUAUUGCAGAAGAAAAAUAAAAGGUACAGAUAAAACUUGGCUUAGGAUAAAUGAGGUGUGCAAACCUCGUGGAGGGUGUACCAACCCUAUGGAUGAAUGAUGUGAGGUGUACUAACCUCGUGGAGGGUGUACCAACCCUAUGGGUGAAUGAUGUGAGGUGUACUAACCUCGUGGAGGGUGUACCAACCCUGCGGAUGAAUGAUGUGAGGUGUACUAACCUCGCGGAGGGUGUACCAACUAGGGAUGGCAACGGGUCGGAUCGGGCACGGAUAGUGCCUACCCGCAACCCGACCCGCUGGGUAAAAUUGUACCCGCUACCCGCCCCGCUACCCGCUGGAUACCCGCCUUAAAAAAACCCGCGGAUUUUUUUCAACCCGCGGGUACCCGUUGGAUACCCG